RNAcentral lists this ribosomal RNA (537 nucleotides) under Escherichia coli. RNAcentral describes it as "bacterial LSU rRNA". It matches the Rfam family "Bacterial large subunit ribosomal RNA", at positions 844 to 1377 of the family's 2925-position model. The record is from RNAcentral. Lineage: Bacteria; Pseudomonadati; Pseudomonadota; Gammaproteobacteria; Enterobacterales; Enterobacteriaceae.
GAUAGCUGGUUCUCCCCGAAAGCUAUUUAGGUAGCGCCUCGUGAAUUCAUCUCCGGGGGUAGAGCACUGUUUCGGCAAGGGGGUCAUCCCGACUUACCAACCCGAUGCAAACUGCGAAUACCGGAGAAUGUUAUCACGGGAGACACACGGCGGGUGCUAACGUCCGUCGUGAAGAGGGAAACAACCCAGACCGCCAGCUAAGGUCCCAAAGUCAUGGUUAAGUGGGAAACGAUGUGGGAAGGCCCAGACAGCCAGGAUGUUGGCUUAGAAGCAGCCAUCAUUUAAAGAAAGCGUAAUAGCUCACUGGUCGAGUCGGCCUGCGCGGAAGAUGUAACGGGGCUAAACCAUGCACCGAAGCUGCGGCAGCGACGCUUAUGCGUUGUUGGGUAGGGGAGCGUUCUGUAAGCCUGUGAAGGUGUGCUGUGAGGCAUGCUGGAGGUAUCAGAAGUGCGAAUGCUGACAUAAGUAACGAUAAAGCGGGUGAAAAACCCGCUCGCCGGAAGACCAAGGGUUCCUGUCCAACGUUAAUCGGGGCAG